RNAcentral lists this ribosomal RNA (253 nucleotides) under uncultured bacterium. Its description in RNAcentral is "partial 16S ribosomal RNA". It matches the Rfam family "Bacterial small subunit ribosomal RNA", at positions 524 to 776 of the family's 1533-position model. The record is from RNAcentral.
GACAGAGGAGGCGAGCGUUAUCCGGCUUCAUUGGGCGUAAAGGGUACGUAGGCGGCUAGUCAAGUCUGAGGUUAAAGACCACAGCUUAACUGUGGGAAGGCCUUGGAAACUGACUGGCUAGAGUGGGGCAGGGGUUGCGGGAAUUCCCGGUGUAGCGGUGAAAUGCGUAGAUAUCGGGAAGAACACCUGAGGCGAAAGCGCGCAACUGGGCCCUAACUGACGCUGAGGUACGAAAGCUAGGGGAGCGAAGGGG